UACGGAGGGUCCGAGCGUUAUCCGGAAUUAUUGGGUUUAAAGGGUCCGUAGGCGGGCUGUUAAGUCAGAGGUGAAAUGCUGCGGCUCAACCGUAUGCACUGCCUUUGAUACUGGCGGUCUUGAGUUAUAGUGAAGUGGCUAGAAUAUGUAGUGUAGCGGUGAAAUGCAUAGAUAUUACAUAGAAUACCGAUUGCGAAGGCAGGUCACUAACUAUUAACUGACGCUGAUGGACGAAAGCGUGGGUAGCGAA
This 250-nucleotide ribosomal RNA is filed under the name uncultured bacterium. RNAcentral describes it as "partial 16S ribosomal RNA". It matches the Rfam family "Bacterial small subunit ribosomal RNA", at positions 524 to 772 of the family's 1533-position model. The record is from RNAcentral.